UACGUAGGGUGCGAGCGUUGCCCGGAUUUAUUGGGCGUAAAGGGCGCGUAGGCGGCUUGGCACGUCCGUUGUGAAAUCGCCCGGCUCAACUGGGCGGGGUCAGCGGAUACGGCCGAGCUGGAGCGAGGUAGGGGGUAAUGGAAUUCCCGGUGUAGUGGUGGAAUGCGUAGAUAUCGGGAGGAACACCAGUGGCGAAGGCGGUUACCUGGAGCUUUGCUGACGCUGAUGCGCGAAAGCGUGGGGAGCGAUCCGG
This 253-nucleotide ribosomal RNA is filed under the name uncultured bacterium. RNAcentral's name for it is "partial 16S ribosomal RNA". It matches the Rfam family "Bacterial small subunit ribosomal RNA", at positions 524 to 776 of the family's 1533-position model. The record is from RNAcentral.